GAUGAAGAACGCAGCGAAACGCGAUAUGUAAUGUGAAUUGCAGAAUUCAGUGAAUCAUCGAAUCUUUGAACGCACAUUGCGCCCGCCAGUAUUCUGGCGGGCAUGCCUGUCUGAGCGUCAUUUCAGCCCUCAUGCCCCUAGGGCGUGGUGUUGGGGAUCGGCCAAAGCCCGCGAGGGACGGCCGGCCCCUAAAUCUAGUGGCGGACCCGUCGUGGCCUCCUCUGCGAAGUAGUGAUAUUCCGCAUCGCAGAGCGACGAGCCCCUGCCGUUAAACCCCCAACUUUCCAAGGUUGACCUCAGAUCAGGUAGGAAUACCCGCUGAACUUAAGCAUAUCAAUAAGCGGAGGA
This 348-nucleotide unclassified non-coding RNA is filed under the name soil metagenome. RNAcentral describes it as "partial contains 5.8S ribosomal RNA, internal transcribed spacer 2, and large subunit ribosomal RNA". The stretch from base 1 to 120 matches the Rfam family "5.8S ribosomal RNA", at positions 35 to 154 of the family's 154-position model. The record is from RNAcentral.